UACGGGAGGCAGCAGUGGGGAAUAUUGCACAAUGGGCGAAAGCCUGAUGCAGCUAUGCCGCGUGUAUGAAGAAGGCCUUAGGGUUGUAAAGUACUUUCAUCGGGGAGGAAAAACAAAACUAAUAAUUUUAUUUCUUGACGUUACCCGAAAAAGAAGCACCGGCUAACUCCGUGCCAGCAGCCGCGGUAAUACGGAGGGUGCUAGCGUUAAUCAGAAUUACUGGGCGUAAAGAGCACGUAGGUGGUUUUUUUAAGUCAGAUGUGAAAUCCCUGGGCUUAACCUAGGAACUGCAUUUUGAAACUGAAAUACUAGAGUAUCGUAGAGGGAGGUAGAAUUCUAGGUGUAGCGGUGAAAUGCGUAGAUAUCUGGAGGAAUACCUGUGGCGAAAGCGGCCUCCUAAACGAAUACUGACACUGAGGUGCGAAAGCGUGGGGAGCAAACGAGGAUUAGAC
Molecule: ribosomal RNA, 452 nt
Filed under: uncultured bacterium
Lineage: Bacteria
Description: bacterial SSU rRNA
Rfam family: Bacterial small subunit ribosomal RNA
Source: RNAcentral